Sus scrofa (pig) is the source of this 8000-nucleotide non-coding RNA. The record is from RefSeq and is a predicted model, not a curated record. NCBI's taxonomy places the organism in Eukaryota, Metazoa, Chordata, Mammalia, Artiodactyla, Suidae.
ACCGGAGGGGGGCGGGUCAGGAAGUGGGGGCGCGGCGGCCAGGAGCGGCCCUGGAGCGGCCAAGAGGUUCUGUAGUGCAGAGGGUGGGAGACUCCGGGCCGCGCUGGAGCAGGGGGUACUCCCCGGCCUCCGCUGAGACGAUGGCGGAGGACGAAGGACCAACUAUAGAACUGCGCCAAAGAAAGAAGCCAAAGUCUUCAGAAAAUAAAGAAUCUGCCAAAGAAGAGGAAAUCAACAGCACUCCAAUUCCUGAAAGAGUUCCAAAACAUAUAUUAUUUCAGCGCUUUGCAAAGAUAUUCAUUGGCUGUCUUGCAGCAGUUAUUAGUGGUAUGACGUAUGUUCUCUAUUUAUCAGCAUACCAUGAACGGAAAUUCUGGUUUUCUAACAGGCAGGAGCUUGAACGGGAAAUCACAUUUCAGGGUGAUAGUGCCAUUUACUACUCUUAUUAUAAAGAUAUGUUAAAGGCACCUUCAUUUGAAAGAGGUGUAUACGAACUGACACACAAUAACAAAACUGUAUCUCUGAAGACUAUAAAUGCAGUGCAGCAAAUGUCUUUAUAUCCAGAACUUAUUGCCAGCAUUUUAUAUCAAGCAACUGGUAGCAAUGAGAUUAUUGAGCCAGUAUAUUUCUAUAUUGGCAUUGUUUUUGGAUUGCAAGGAAUAUAUGUUACUGCUUUAUUUGUUACGAGUUGGCUUAUGAGUGGAACUUGGCUAGCAGGAAUGCUAACUGUUGCAUGGUUCAUUAUUAACAGGGUAGAUACAACAAGAGUUGAAUAUUCCAUUCCUUUAAGAGAAAACUGGGCACUGCCAUAUUUUGCAUGCCAAGUUGCUGCACUUACAGGCUAUUUAAAAAGCAACUUAAAUUCUUAUGGAGAGAUCUCAAGAUCCCAGUUGCAUCAGAAUAUCAAGCUCAGAUCUUCUGUGCAGAGGUUUUGCUACUUAUUGAUGAGUGCUUCAACUUACACGUUUAUGAUGAUGUGGGAGUACAGCCACUAUCUCUUGUUUCUUCAAGCAAUAUCUCUCUUCUUGCUAGAUAGUUUUUCACUGGAGCAAAGUGACAAGGUUCAUGAAGUUUAUAGAAUCUAUAUAUUUUCUCUCUUUCUGGGAUAUUUACUGCAGUUCGAGAAUUCAGCUUUGUUGGUGUCUCCUUUAUUAAGUUUAGUAGUAGCCUUAAUGCUUGCUAAGUGCCUUCAGCUGAAUGUGAAAAAAGAAACUUUCGUAGCCAAAAUAAUGAAAGUAAUAAAUUUUUACUUGGUGUGUACUCUGACAGUGACCCUGAAUGUUAUAAUGAAGAUGUUUGUCCCACACAAAGAAAAUGGACAUAUGCUGAAAUUUCUUGAAGUAAAAUUUGGGCUAAAUAUGACUAAGAAUUUUACAAUGAAUUGGCUCCUAUGUCAAGAAUCUCUUCAGGCACCAUCUCAAGAUUUUUUUUUGCGAUUGACACAGUCUUCUUUAUUACCUUUUUAUAUUUUAGUGUUAGUUAUUUGUUUUCUUUCUAUGAUUCAAGUUAUUUUUCGGAGAAUUAGUGGUAAGUCCCUGAAAGAAACUAUUACACUUGAAGAUGGGCGAAUUGGAGAAAGGCCAGAAAUCAUUUAUCAUGUGAUUCACACUAUUUUAUUGGGCUCUCUUGCAAUGGUUAUAGAAGGCUUGAAAUACCUCUGGACUCCUUACGUGUGCAUGUUAGCAGCGUUUGGUGUAUGUUCUCCUGAACUUUGGAUGACACUUUUCAAGUGGCUUCGAUUACGGACUGUACAUCCAGUAUUGUUGGCUCUUAUUCUAAGCACGGCUGUGCCCACUAUAAUAGGUCUCAGCUUAUGGAAGGAGUUUUUUCCAAGAUUAAUUACAGAAUUGAUGGAACUACAAGAAUUUUAUGACCCAGAUACAGUGGAACUUAUGACCUGGAUAAAAAGGCAAGCUCCAGUUGCAGCUGUGUUUGCAGGAAGUCCACAAUUAAUGGCUGCAAUUAAAUUAUGCACUGGAUGGAUGGUGACAAGCUUGCCUCUUUACAAUGAUGAUGACUUUCUCAAGCGAAAUGAAAAUAUCUAUCAAAUCUAUUCAAAGCGAUCUGCUGAAGAUAUUUAUAAAAUACUGACAUCCUACAAGGCUAAUUACCUAAUUGUAGAAGAUGCUAUCUGCAACGAGGUGGGAACCACAAGAGGAUGUAGGGUUAAAGACUUAUUAGACAUUGCAAAUGGCCAUGCCUGAACCCACAGCAUAUGAAAGUUCCCAGGCUAGAGGUUGAAUUGGAGCUAUAUGGCUGCUGGCCUAGGCCACAGCCACAGCAACAGCGGCCCCGCUGAGGGAGACCAAGGAUCAAACCUACGUCCUCAUGGAUACUAGUCAGAUUUGUUUCCGAUGUGCAACAACAGGAACUCCCUGGAGUGUGUAUUCUGUUUAGCUUGCGACCAAGAUUUUUUCUGUCCUUUCCUAAAUAAUUAGCUCUUUGUUUUAAUCAUCCCAGACCAGUUGGACGGUCGUUUGUGAAGAAGGUGACAAGUUAACCUACUCAAAACAUGGGCGAUUUUGUCAUGAGGUCAAAAUUAACUAUUCUCCAUAUAUGAAUUAUUUCACUAGAGUAUACUGGAACAGAUCCUACUUUGUAUAUAAAAUCAACACUGUGAUAUCCUUUCAGUCUUGAAAAAUAGCAGAGCCUUCAUUUCAAAGAUGUAGACAUCUGAUGUAAAGUGCAGUUUUCUUCUACCUACAUGGUGUCUUUCAGAAAUCAGAGCUUGGACAUGUGAAAUGUUGCUGCUGCUUUUCCCCUCCUGCUGUUAACUGGAUCUAGAGUUCUGUGGGGAAAAGAAGAUCAAACAGUACUGUUCUUUGGUAAAAUGUCAAAUCUGCCAUUCUGCAGUAUUCCAGCCAGGUGUUUUUCUUAGUGUUACAUGUUCCUCUAGACUGUCGUAAAAUUUUCCUCUUAAAUCUUCAUUCCAUCAUAGCAUUGGUCUUGAAUUUGAAUAUGUUCAAGGCCAGAGUAUAGUUCUCAACCAUAACAUUUAAUAAAUACUUGAUGUGAUAUAAUUUUAGAAUAGAAGGAAAGAAUUAUUCUUAACCUCAAGGCAGUUUCUGAAGGUAAUUUCAUGGUGUAUAAUAAAACGAAACUCUGACAAAAAAAAAAAAAAAAAAAAAAAAAAAAAAGGAGUUCCCGUCGUGGCGCAGUGGUUAACAAAUCUGACUAGGAACCAUGAGGUUGCGGGUUUGAUCCCUGCCCUUGCUCAGUGGGUUAAUGAUCCGGCGUUGCCGUGAGCUGUGGUGUAGGUUGCAGACGCGGCUCGGAUUUUGCGUUGCUGUGGCUCUGGCGUAGGCUGGCGGCUACAGCUCCGAUUCAACCCCUAGCCUGGGAACCUCCAUAUGCCGCUGGAGCGGCCCAAAAAGUGGCAAAAAAGACAAAAAAAAAAAAAAAAAAAAAAAAAAACAACGAAACUCUUACAAUAAAAAACUAAUUUAAAUGUCUGCUGAGAAUUUGUGGCAUUUAAAUUAAAAUGGAAAUUUUAUAAAGGAAAGUGAUCUUUAAGGAUACACAUAAAGGUAUGUCCAGAUUUUUCCAUAAUACCACUCUAAUCAUCUGCUGCCUAUGUAAGUGAGCACUUUCCUAGUAAUAUAUGUUGCAUGAUACUGCGUUUCAUUAUUUUAUGACUAUUAACUGGCUAGCUUUUUUACACUUAUGCCCAUAAAUUUGAUACCAAUUUAAUCAUGGUAAAACAGCAAUUCUUGUUACCUAUAUAUUUUUAAAAACAGACAUUUAGAAGAAUGUUGUUCAGGUUUUUAAAAUAUGGAUAUGGGUAUACAAUCUAUUUACAUGUCUUCUACUAAAGUAUUAAGUGAAAAAGUAAGUAUUUGUCAGAAUAAGACUGUGUGUACUAAAAUGAGCAACAAUUUCUGGAGAUAUGUGCAGAUACUGUUAAACAACUCUGCAUGAUAAAACACAAGUGCUAUUAUUUAUGAAACUAUGGUACAGUCUUCAGCAUUAAGAACAAAAUGACAGUUAUAAAAUUCACAGCACAGUCUCACAAUUUAAAUGUUAUAUUUCUUCAAGUCAUGUUUUCACAUUUUAAAUUAUCAAUUAAAAGAAAUUCUAAAUUGAUAAAUUUGGCCAUAUAAAGAAAUUCAGGAUAGAUAUAUAUUUUAAUAAGAUGGGAUGCAUGUUUAUACACCUAUUGAGUGAACAGACUUUCAAAUUUUUACCUGUUAAAGUGCCGUAAAAACUGAAAUUUCAGAACUCUAAAUAACUACAUUAGAAAGGAGCAUCUUUCCAUUACCUUUAUUUUCUGUUUUAUAUACAUAUAUACACAUAUAUAUAAUUUUUUAAGUACAGAGCACAUGCAUUCUUAGACUAAGAUGUUAGCUCUAGGAUGUUUUGUUCUUAUGGAGUUUGUUGUUUGGUGGCAGUGUCAUAUGUCUGGUGCAUUUGUUUCAUUGGUUGUCAUUUCAUGCUUUUAUGUAACUUUUAACAAGAUAGCUACAGGCAGGCUAUUUCAGGUUCUCUCACUUACAUCUUAAUAGUGAGUUGCCAGUACUUAGCUUCAAGCCUUAUGAAAAUAUUACCAUAGUUACCUAAGUACACAGUGAAUAGUCACAUGGUUAUACUUAUGAUUAGAGAGAGCAUGUAAAACAAUGUAAUUUAAAAGUCAGCUUGCCUAUUUUCAAAGGGAAAUAGCACAACCUCCUUUCUAUAUAGCAUGAAAUACUUAAUUGAAUUUUUAUCAGUUUUAUGAUCAGAUAUGCUGAAUUUGUUUUUGUUGUGUUUUUUUGUGUGUGCGUUUGACAUAAUAGUAAGUUGCUUUUGCUUCUGUCAACUCAUUUCUUAAAUAAAAUAGAUUCAGAGAAGCUUUUAAUUGAAUUUUUAAAGUAUUUUUCAGUCAGCCUCAGUUGAAUAGGAAAACAUGAGCUUUAUUAUAGAAAUCAUAAUACUGGAUAUGAGAUAUAAGCUAUUUUAGCUGUAGUUAAAACAAUAGUACUUUGUUUUAGAAAUGGAAAACAGAAAACUUUGAGGAGCAUUUAAUCAAUUUCCUUACUGAUUUGCAGACUAACAGAUGAUUAAGAAUUCUGCAAGUAAUUCCAUCUGGGUGACUUAACAGUUGUUAGGUUUGACAGUCAAGAUCUACUGUGAAAGGAGCAACAUUUUGGGGUUUGGGGUGGAAGGAAUUUCUCAAAGAAAUACAAAGCAUACUUUGCCCUUGAUGUUGCAAAACCGUUGAAAUAGGUGCCUUAACCUCCUUAUUUCAAAAUUUACUUUUCAUUUAGUGUUACAGCUCAAGUGGAUUAAAAACCGACUAGUAUCCAUGAGGCUGCGGGCUGGAUCCCUGCCUUACUCAGUGGGUUAAGGAUCCGGUGUUGCCGUGAGCUGUGGUAUAGGUUGAAGACAGGGCUUGGAUCCGGCAUCACUGUGGCUGUGGUGUAGGCUGGCAGCUACAGCUCCAAAUUGACCCCUAGCCUGGGAACUUCCAUGUGCUGCAGGUGUGGCCAUGAAAAGAAAAAAAAAAAAAAAAAAAAGUAUUCAUUUUUCUUCUUUUUCAUAAGAAAGUAAUGCUAUGCUAUGCUCUUUUUGCUGUCAGCUUUAAUUAAUCAGUAAGCAAAUCUUUGUUAAGGGUAAUGAUGAAAUUUCUAGCCUACAUUUUAAAUUAAUUAGCUUCUCAAAUGCCAAACAAUCCAACAAAUGAAAUAACUUGAUAAGGUAUAUGAUAUUGACUCUGUGUUGGUUUUUAUUUUCUCUAACUUUGGCAUCUGCAUCUUAGUGCUUUUUGUUAGACUGGUAAGGUUUUACAACCUAGGGAGUAUGCAUUGUACUUCAAAACUAACUUAUUUCUUCAUUACUUUCUGUGUCUAUAGAUAGCAUGCUUUUUCAGGACAUUAACUCAGAUUGCUAAUAACCUCACUGUUGUACCCCCUUUCCAUACAGUCCAGAUUGAUUCAAGGAAAAGCAGAAAUGAAGUCAAAUUUUGGGCUGAAAAUUAUGCUUUAAAAAAUAGGUUAUUGGAGGAGUUCCCGUCGUGGCGCAGUGGUUAACGAAUCCGACUAGGAACCAUGAGGUUGCGGGUUCGAUCCUUGCCCUUGCUCAGUGGGUUAACAAUCUGGCGUUGCUGUGAGCUGUGGUGUGGGUUGCAGAUACAGCUUGGAUCCCGUGUUGCUGUGACUCUGGCGUAGGCCAGCAGCUACAGCUCCAAUUCGACCCCUAGCCUGGGAACCUACAUAUACCGCGGGAAGCGGGCCCAAAGAAGAAAUAGUAAAAAGACAAAAAAAAAAAAAAAAAAAAAGGUUAUUGGAGUUCCUGUCGUGGUGCAGUGGUUAACGAAUCCGACUAGGAACCAUUAGGUUGCGGGUUCGGUCCCUGCCCUUGCUCAGUGGGUCAAGGAUCCAGCGUUGCCGUGAGCUGUGGCGUAGGUUGCAGGCGCGGCUCGGAUCCCGCAUUGCUGUGGCUCUGGCGUAGGCCAGUGGCUACAGCUCCGAUUCGACCCCUAGCCUGGGAACCUGCAUAUGCCGCCGGAGCGGCCCAAGAAAUAGCAAAAAGACAAAAAAUAAAUAAAUAAAUAAAUAAUAGGUUAUUAAUUUCUUGAAAGAAACAAUGAAUACCCAUCUUAUCAAGCUUUGUUGUUUUUGAGAGUUCAGUUUUUUGACCCUUUCUACAUUUUAAUGCCUUCUGCAGGUAAAAGUCGUGUUUUUUAUAAAAUUGGUGGGGUUUCUAAAAGUUGUAUGUAAAUCAGGUUUUUUUUGUAAAUUUACUUUAAAUGCAUGAAUAUUUAAAGGGCAUAUAUUUUGAACUAUUCUGUAUAUUUAAGAAUCUUUUGUAAGGGAAAUAACUACUUCCUGAUUUACAUCUCAAUAUAUUCUCUCAUUUGUCCUUUUUUUUAAAAUAGAUAUUCUCUGUUGUUUCUAUCUGCUAAUAGUUUUAGCUCUGAAAUGUUGCAAGUAAUAUUGAACAGUUUCUUAUUGAAAUAAUAGCUCAUUAAGUUUUCAAAUAUGUAAAAUUUAUACUUUAAAUAAAACUUCAGGAGUUCCCACUGUGGCACAGUGGGUUAAUGAUCUGGCUUGUCUGUGGAGGCGGUGGUUUGCUCCCUGGCUCAGGUGCGGUUGGUUAAGGAUCUGGCAUUGCUGAAGCUGUGGCUUAGAUCUCAGCUGUGACUCGGAUUCAGUUCAUGGCCCAGGAACUUCCAUAUGCCACGGGUGUAGCCAAAAAAGAAAAAUAAAUUUCAUGUGAAACUUGCAAAGGAAUAUAUUUGAUUCAGCUAUUUUCCAUCCAUUAAAGUUUCUUUUUUCUUUUUUGGGGGGCACAUCUGCAGCAUGUGGAGGUUCCCAGGCUAGGGGUCCAAUCAGAGCUUCAGUUGCCAGCCUACACCACAGCCACAGCAACAGAAACACGGGAUCUGAGCCAAGUCUGCUACCUACACCACAGCUCAUGGCAAUACCAGAUCCUUAACUCACCGAGCAGGCCAGGGAUCAAACCAGCAAUCUCAUGUUCCUAGUUGGAUUCGUUUCCACUGCACCAUGACAGGAACUCCCAUUAAGGUUUCUAAACAUUAUCCUUGUUUUCCUUAAUAAAAAAGGGCAUUUUAGAACCAGAUUUGCUGAAUUUAGCAUAAAGGUGUCUCUGAAUAAUUUUUGUUUAGAAGUCUUUUAGAAUUUGCAACAUCCUAAUCUUGGCACAUAUAAUCCAGUGUGCAGUUUUAUUUAUAAGGGAUACACCAAAUGUCUUACCACUAUAUUUAGUGGAAUAAUAGCAUUAGAAAGAAACAUGCAUUCCAUACUUAUAGUUUGAAAUAUCUCAAACAACCCUUUCAUAUUUUAAUUAGCUUUGUACAUCUAUUUAACAAAGAUGAAUACAGCUGCUUUUAUGUAUGUUGACUUAAUACUACAAAAAUGUACAUUUAGAUUAAAUAUGUCCUUAUAACUAAAGCUACAUCUUUGCAAAAGAUUAAAAGGGUUGGGUUAUAAACUAGUUUACUUCAGAUUUUGUAACAUUAAAUGUGCUUUUAUCAAGAAUGAAAUUAUUUAUUUCAUGCCUAA